Molecule: ribosomal RNA, 253 nt
Filed under: uncultured bacterium
Lineage: Bacteria
Description: partial 16S ribosomal RNA
Rfam family: Bacterial small subunit ribosomal RNA
Source: RNAcentral
UACGUAGGGGGCUAGCGUUGUCCGGAAUCAUUGGGCGUAAAGCGCGCGUAGGCGGCCCGGUAAGUCCGCUGUAAAAGUCCAGGGCUCAACCCUGGAACGCCGGUGGAUACUGUCGGGCUAGAGUCCGGAAGAGUCGAGUGGAAUUCCUGGUGUAGCGGUGGAAUGCGCAGAUAUCAGGAGGAACACCGAUGGCGAAGGCAGCUCGCUGGGACGGUACUGACGCUGAGGCGCGAAAGCGUGGGGAGCGAACAGG